RNAcentral lists this ribosomal RNA (125 nucleotides) under Agaricus romagnesii. Its description in RNAcentral is "5.8S ribosomal RNA". It matches the Rfam family "5.8S ribosomal RNA", at positions 31 to 154 of the family's 154-position model. From Rfam's summary of the family: 5.8S ribosomal RNA (5.8S rRNA) is a component of the large subunit of the eukaryotic ribosome. Lineage: Eukaryota; Fungi; Basidiomycota; Agaricomycetes; Agaricales; Agaricaceae. The record is from RNAcentral.
CAUCGAUGAAGAACGCAGCGAAAUGCGAUAAGUAAUGUGAAUUGCAGAAUUCAGUGAAUCAUCGAAUCUUUGAACGCAUCUUGCGCUCCUUGGUAUUCCGAGGAGUAUGCCUGUUUGAGUGUCAU